AUGAGAGGAACAAGAUUACCAGAUAGCGGCCGACGGCUGCGAAAUCGAGAGGCGACUGUUGGUAUUGUUGUUCAUGGCAGCACAAAUUUCAGAUGUACCGCAGUGGCUUUGCACGGAAGAUCUGGGAUGGUCGAAGUCGCGGCUGAAGCUUGUAGAUCAUGGGAAGGGUGUUGUUCAUGGUUAUCGUCAGAUGGUGUGUAA
Non-coding RNA from Vicia faba (fava bean), 201 nucleotides. The record is from the annotation of a GenBank genome assembly. Lineage: Eukaryota; Viridiplantae; Streptophyta; Magnoliopsida; Fabales; Fabaceae.